Molecule: long non-coding RNA, 603 nt
Filed under: Mus pahari (shrew mouse)
Lineage: Eukaryota; Metazoa; Chordata; Mammalia; Rodentia; Muridae
Description: lncRNA (MGP_PahariEiJ_G0002960.1)
Source: RNAcentral
CCCCAAGGAGAAAAAAAAAAAAAAAAGAGGCCCGGCUUUUUUAGAGCAAGACAAAUCCAGAGAGAUGAAGUGACUGACCCAAGGUUACACAGAAUGGAAUCUAUAUCUUCUGAUUUCUCUACUGGCCUGCACUCCAAGUUCUGAGGAGCAGUCCUUGAAGCUGCUGAGAUAAUGGAACAAUGGCGUAGAUAGUCCAUUAUAACUCAUCUGUGAUUCUUCUCAAGUUCAAGUGACCACAGAAAAAAGGUUGUCCUGCCCCAUUCUGUCCCUUAUGCUGUACCCAUGGUAACCGCAUCAGCCUGAGAAGAUUGUAAUGUUACUUCUCUGCUUGAGAUGUUAGGGGACUAGAGAUGGCUCAGCAGUUAAGAGCUUUGGCUGUGGCUUGGGAGAAAACAAGGCUUGAAGAGGAGCAGGCGAGGCUGAGUCAGUGACUCCAGAGGCUGCAGAAUUGUUAAGAGUGCCUGCUUGUCUUUGAGAGGACCAGAGUUCAAUUCCCAACACCCGGAAGCUCCAGGGAAUUCAACACUUUCUUCUUGACCUCCUCAAGCACCCCUACAUACAGCUUAUAAACACACAGGGAAAGUAAAGGGGAUCUUAAACACA